Molecule: long non-coding RNA, 567 nt
Organism: Rhinichthys klamathensis goyatoka
Lineage: Eukaryota; Metazoa; Chordata; Actinopteri; Cypriniformes; Leuciscidae
Exons: 4
Source: RefSeq, a predicted model, not a curated record
UUCUUUAUAAGUAUAUCUGCUUACUGGCUAGCUCCAACUCUAGUCUUACAGUCAACUGUGUCCUGCCUUCUUUAAAAUGACCAGUCACAUGUGCCUUUCAAAUGCCACUUCACGUCUACAGUUAUAUUCUGGUCUUGUCAAGUAGAGGUGGAGAGAGGACUUCCACAGUAUCUCCAUUCAGCCAGUGUGGAGCCCCUACAUUACCAAACCCCCAAGAGAGCCACAGAACCAGAACACUGUCCACAUUCAAUACACAGAGUGGCAGAUGUUCCCUGAGGAUCGUUUGAAAUACUGUAUGAGGGUCCAUUGCUGUUUUUGAGAAACGCUGGCAUAAUGGACACCGUGUAAGAGGGUAUUGACACAGCUUUUCGGUGUCCGUUAAGGGGGGGAAAGCAGUCUUUUUACUGGGUUUCGUUUAAAUGAAUGGAGGUAUUAUGGAGAUGUCACAGCAACGGACCCCUGCUGAUGUAUAUGAGCAUUCAGUGGUCAACUGACGGGUUACAGAGAGGUUAUUUUUUAAACGAAUGUAUUAAUAUAUAUGAAUUAAAGUGACAUUUAUGCAUGAAG